AGUUUUCCCCUCGUCCCCCUCUCUGAUGCGCACAAGGUGGUAGCCAUUCCGGAGGUCCAGUCUGGUGAACACAGUGGCACUGAUGAGUGUGCAAGGAUACUUGUUCUUGAUGUUAUUCAGUCUAGGCCUCAGUCUAGGCCUCAGUGACCCAUCCUUCUUCACAAAGAAAAACUCAGCACCCACCCCUGGGAGGAAGAAGGCCUGAUAAGUCCUGCAACCAGGGAGUCCUGGAUGUACCUCUCCAUAGCCUCCAGCUCGGGGCGAGAGAGGUUAUACAACUGGCUACAGGGGAGAGGAGCUCCAGGCUGGAGGACAAUGGUGCAGUUGUACGGCUGAUGAGGUGGCAGCGACAGGACGCGGUGCUUGCUGAACAUAGGCGCUAGAUCGUGAUACUCUGGAGGAACUGAUGACAGGUCAGGAGGUUCUGGAAUGGGGCACAGACAAGGCAUCGGCAAGGGCAAAAUGUAGACAAUUCUAGUGACAAAAUUAAUUCCAAGUGGUUACCCUUCCAGCGGUCCAGUCGAUCUGAGGGUUGUGCAACUUUAACCAUGGAUGGCCAAGAACCAGGGGAGAGUGAGGACAGUCGAUUAUGUGGAAAGUGAUCCUUUCCUGGUGGUUUCCAGAGAGAUGCAGGAUGACAGGGGCGGUCCUCUCCCAGACACUGGCGAGGAGCUGUCCGUUGAGAGCGUUGGCAUCGAGGGGUGAAUCGAGUGAAACAGAGUCCAGGCCCAACUGGGUAACGACACCACGGUCCAGGAAACUCUCGUCGGCGCCUGAGUCGAUGAGAGCAGGCAGGGGAAGAACCUGGCUCUGCCACACGAGGGCGCCGUCAAGCAGGGGUCUGGGGGAGAGAUGGGCAGGCGAUUUGGCUCAACGGUAGGUCCCCCACUACUGCCGAGCCACCACUUUUGGUGAAAACAACUGAAUCCAUUUUAGAAUAAGGCUGUAACGUAACAAAAUGUAUAGAAAGUCAAGAGGUCUGAAAACUUUCCAAAUGCUCUGUAGCCAUGUUAUUUAGACUUGUUAUUCUUCUUCGUUUAUUCACUGUGUAUUUAUUUAUUGUGUCACUAUUUUCAAUGUUGUAUAUUUAACUCUGCAUUGUUGGAAAAGUCUGUUGUUUACGAAGCAAAUGACAAAUUACGUUUGGUUUUGAUUGAAAUAGGUGCCGGCAAUCAUUUUGGGUGCCUGAACUCUGCACUAUGUUUAAGCCAAUAUUCUGGAAGUAGUUCUGGAAGUCAAGCAGUAGAAUAUGUGAGGUUCUGGAACUCAGUUCUGGUGUUCUGUCCCUUGUCAAUCUUGUGUAUUUCCCUCAGUGAUUCAAACAGAAAAUGGACACAAAAUUAGACACAAAUACAGCAAGUUUUUCUGGUAAUACUUUGUGCUUCAGUGUCUUGUCAGUGGUGGAAGAGAUACUCUGGAGCUGCUGCAGGAUGUCUGGGGCUGCUGUGUGUUCUCCUACUGGCUGGGAUCAUAGGCCUGUUUCUCUACCAGAAAAACCAAUUGACCAGUUCCAACACCCUGACUGAAGAGAGAGACCAGUUACAGACCUGCGGAAACAACCUUACUGAAGAGAGAGACCAGCUACAGACUAGCAACAACACCCCGAACGAAGAGAGAGACCAGCUACAGACUAGCGACAACACGCUGACCAAAGAGAGAAACCAGUUACAGACCAGAUACAACACCCUGACCAAAGAGAGAGACCAGCUACAGACCAGAUACAACACCCUGACCAAAGAGAGAGACCAGCUACAGACUAGAUACAACACCCUGACCAAAGAGAGAGACCAGCUACAGAAAGAGACAGAACGUCUGAAACAAUCUUUAGUUGAGAAAGUGUGUCCGGACGGAUGGAAGAAGAUUGGUAGCAGUUGUUAUUACGUCUCUACUGAGUACAAAUCCUGGGAGGAGAGCAGACAGGACUGCAGAAAUAGAGGAGCAGACCUGGUGGUCAUCAACAGCCAAGAGAAACAGACAUUUGUCAAUUGGUUAUGUGGAGUAAAGAACUAUGUCUGGAUUGGUCUGACUGACUCUGUUUCUGAGGGGACCUGGAAAUGGGUGGACUACACACCACUGACCACAAAGUAUUGGAACAGUAAAGAGCCUAAUGGUGGAAGAGCAGAGAACUGUGUGUACUUCUACUCCUGGUCAUCAGACACAGGAGCUUGGUGGGACUAUGACUGUUCCUAUCAAUACAGAUGGAUCUGUGAGAAAUAGGAUUCAUCCUCGGUACUCUCUGAACUGCUAAAUAAGAUUAUGCUAAGUACUAUAUAUCGUAAUAUAUUUUCUACUUAUUCAAUUUACCUUGUCAACUACAUACAAUAUAUAACAAGACACAUGUAGAAUACAUUAUAA
Molecule: non-coding RNA, 2355 nt
Organism: Oncorhynchus mykiss (rainbow trout)
Lineage: Eukaryota; Metazoa; Chordata; Actinopteri; Salmoniformes; Salmonidae
Source: RefSeq, a predicted model, not a curated record